This 567-nucleotide ribosomal RNA is filed under the name uncultured bacterium. RNAcentral describes it as "partial 16S ribosomal RNA". It matches the Rfam family "Bacterial small subunit ribosomal RNA", at positions 355 to 937 of the family's 1533-position model. The record is from RNAcentral.
UGGGGAAUAUUGCACAAUGGGCGAAAGCCUGAUGCAGCGACGCCGCGUGAGGGAUGACGGCCUUCGGGUUGUAAACCUCUUUCAGCAGGGAAGAAGCGAAAGUGACGGUACCUGCAGAAGAAGCGCCGGCUAACUACGUGCCAGCAGCCGCGGUAAUACGUAGGGCGCAAGCGUUGUCCGGAAUUAUUGGGCGUAAAGAGCUCGUAGGCGGUUAGUCGCGUCUGCUGUGAAAACUCGAGGCUCAACCUCGGGCUUGCAGUGGGUACGGGCUGACUAGAGUGCGGUAGGGGUGACUGGAAUUCCUGGUGUAGCGGUGGAAUGCGCAGAUAUCAGGAGGAACACCGAUGGCGAAGGCAGGUCACUGGGCCGCAACUGACGCUGAGGAGCGAAAGCAUGGGGAGCGAACAGGAUUAGAUACCCUGGUAGUCCAUGCCGUAAACGUUGGGCACUAGGUGUGGGGUCCAUUUCCACGGAUUCCGUGCCGCAGCAAACGCAUUAAGUGCCCCGCCUGGGGAGUACGGCCGCAAGCUAAAACUCAAAGGAAUUGACGGGGUCAUAGCUGUUCCU